UACUCACUGUCCCCAACUGUUUACAUAAACCAUUACCUCCACACUAAAACUAUAGCAUUUUUAGAUCUCAUGUUGUUGUCCCGACCUCCGUAAAGUGUCAUUAAUGCAAGAACGAAUGUAAGUGUCGCCAAGACCAACACAUGUGGUAACUCCAACGAGAACCAGGCCAAUAAGAUGAAGAAAGUCAAGACUUAGUCCAAGGUAUUUCACUCAGUUUACAGUUAAGAUAGGUUCAGUCUCACAUUGUACUAAAACUCCCCAAAGUCGGAAUCGGUCUGAAUUACCGGUGCGCAUGCCGAGUUGUAAUUGGCCGCCUGGCACAACACCAGUUUCUCACCAACUGCCAGAUAAUGUGAUGGCAUCCAGCCAGUGCUGGAUUUAGGCACAAGCCUCUACAAAACCCUGGGCAGCACUCAAAUUAUUCUUGAAUCCUGACUCUACAGUACCAAAACAUCUGCUGACAUUAAACUAGGUGGGAAGCAAAGGCUACUGCAGCCAUAGGCCCAUAGGUGAGUUAUACAGUAAUUCAAUUAUGUACUGUAAUGAUACUUUUACUCACGUCCUUACUAAUGUAUUAAUGACAGUGAAGAAGGUGAAACAAGAAGAAAGCUGAUAUUCUUCCUGAGAAAACUGAGGAACUGGAAUGUGUCUUCAUGUUCAUUAGUUAGAUCAAUUCCACAAACCACCAAGACCCUACAGGACCCACACAUUGGCCUUAGCACAUGUACAAAGCUUUACACAUUGCUCACUAACUUCUUGAAAUAAAUCCUAGACUGUUUUGAUGAAAUUGAACUCAAAGCAAAAGGAGACCUUCCUGAUGUAGAGUACAGGUGUGUGAAUAAAAGAGAGUGAGAAAAAACAAGUCAGUGAUGGUGAUGCAGCAAAUGAUGAUGACAGGAUUUCUCCAAGAGACAAAUUUUGAGUAAAAUCCUUUAUUCCCAUGAUGGAUGCCCUUGAAAUCGGUGUGAAAAAAGACAGCCAUAUACAGUACAAUAAUGUUGCAAAUAUAUAUAAUUUUUUUGUUGAUUUAGAAGAGGAACAGUUGUGUGACAGUGUAAAGUCUCUGGUGAAAGACUAUCCUGAUGAUAUUGAUGUUAACCUUGUUGGGGAAGUAAAGCUUUUUAAUGUUUAUACCAAGAAAAAUUAUUCUAAUAAAGGAUAUUUAUGCCACUAGGACCUCUAUCAAGUCAUCUUCCAAGAUAAGAUUCAUUUGGCUUUCCCUAUUGUAGAAGCAAUAUUGUGGCUACUUUUCAGUCUAAUAGUCACAAACUGCUCAGGAGAAAGGUAAAUUCUGUAGCUGAAAAGGAUUAAGAAUGAACUAUGGACAUCAAUGCUGUGAGAAAAGUUCUCUGCAUUAAGAAUUAUGUGAAUAGAAAGUGAAAAAUUUGUAGCUUAUCAUUGGACGACUUCAUCCAUGACCUUGCUCUUGGGAAUCUACGAAAGAAAAUGUUUUAAAUUUCAUGUGAUGUUCAACCAGAAGAGACAGUGCCAGUUGCAUUACUGCCUCCAUUUACUAAGGGUGAAUCUGUUUAAUUUCUUUAUAUAAUAGUAUGAGUAACCAGAGAACAGAUUAUAUCAACUGUUACUCAACUCCAAUGUGACGAAUAACUUCUGUUACCAAUAUUGUCACGUAUACUUGGAGUACACUUGACUAACUGUAAACUGUACACUGUAGAAUGGUCACCUUAGACUGGGCCGAGACUGGGUCCUCUUAAUCUACGCUUUGCCAACUAUGUAACAAUAUCUUCUUUGUAACAGUAUAACACAGUAAUGGGGAGAACAUAAUAUCUCUACCUUUACCAACUGUGUAUCUGUUACUUGUUGUAUAACAACUACUUGUGAAGCUGUCAUAUAUGUAACAAC
Molecule: long non-coding RNA, 1863 nt
Organism: Homarus americanus (American lobster)
Lineage: Eukaryota; Metazoa; Arthropoda; Malacostraca; Decapoda; Nephropidae
Exons: 3
Source: RefSeq, a predicted model, not a curated record